This 71-nucleotide transfer RNA is filed under the name Pinnaxodes chilensis. Its description in RNAcentral is "tRNA-Leu". Lineage: Eukaryota; Metazoa; Arthropoda; Malacostraca; Decapoda; Pinnotheridae. The record is from RNAcentral.
UUUAGGAUCCUAUUAAGUAGAAUUGAUCUAUAGAUAACUAAGUAAAAGGAUCUAAUUACUUUGUGAUUUUA